This 3387-nucleotide ribosomal RNA is filed under the name Streptococcus pneumoniae. RNAcentral's name for it is "bacterial LSU rRNA". The stretch from base 966 to 3387 matches the Rfam family "Bacterial large subunit ribosomal RNA". Lineage: Bacteria; Bacillati; Bacillota; Bacilli; Lactobacillales; Streptococcaceae. The record is from RNAcentral.
UUAAACGUUUGACUGACUUCGGUGCAUUUGUUGAAGUAUUGCCAGGUAUCGAUGGACUUGUUCACGUAUCACAAAUUUCACACAAACGGAUUGAAAAUCCAAAAGAAGCUCUUAAAGUUGGUCAAGAAGUUCAAGUUAAAGUUCUUGAAGUUAACGCAGAUGCAGAACGCGUGUCACUUUCUAUUAAAGCUCUUGAAGAACGUCCAGCCCAAGAAGAAGGACAAAAAGAAGAAAAACGUGCUGCUCGUCCACGUCGUCCAAGACGUCAAGAAAAGCGUGAUUUCGAACUUCCAGAAACACAAACAGGAUUUUCAAUGGCUGAUUUGUUUGGUGAUAUCGAACUUUAAUCAAAUUGAAAAUUCACAAAAUCCUUUGUUUACUAAACAAGGGAUUUUUCUGGCUCUUUGUCAACUGUAGUGGGUUGAAGAAAAGCUAAGGUUGAGAAAGGACAAAUUUCGUCCUUUCUUUUUUGAUGUUCAGAGCGAUAAAAAUCCGUUUUUUGAAGUUUUCAAAGUUCCGAAAACCAAAGGCAUUGCGCUUGAUAAGUUUGAUGAGAUUAUUGGUCGCUUCCAAUUUGGCGUUUGAAUAGGGUAGUUGAAGGGCGUUGACGAUUUUCUCUUUGUCCUUUAGAAAGGUUUUAAAGACAGUCUGAAAAAUAGGAUGAACCUGCUUAAGAUUGUCCUCAAUGAGUCCGAAAAAUUUCUCCGGUUCCUUAUUCUGAAAGUGAAACAGCAAGAGUUGAUAGAGCUGAUAGUGAUGUUUCAAGUCUUGUGAAUAGCUCAAAAGCUUGUCUAAAAUCUCUUUAUUGGUUAAAUGUAUACGAAAAGUAGGACGAUAAAAUCGCUUAUCACUCAGUUUACGGCUAUCCUGUUGAAUGAGUUUCCAGUAGCGCUUGAUAGCCUUGUAUUCAUGGGAUUUUCGAUGAAACUGAUUCAUGAUUUGAACACGCACACGACUCAUAGCACGGCUAAGAUGUUGUACAAUGUGAAAGCGAUCAAGAACNGCAUUCGGGAGUGAAAUAGAACCUGAAACCGUGUGCCUACAACAAGUUCGAGCCCGUUAAUGGGUGAGAGCGUGCCUUUUGUAGAAUGAACCGGCGAGUUACGUUAUGAUGCGAGGUUAAGUUGAAGAGACGGAGCCGUAGGGAAACCGAGUCUGAAUAGGGCGCCUUAGUAUCAUGACGUAGACCCGAAACCAUGUGACCUACCCAUGAGCAGGUUGAAGGUGCGGUAAGACGCACUGGAGGACCGAACCAGGGCACGUUGAAAAGUGCUUGGAUGACUUGUGGGUAGCGGAGAAAUUCCAAACGAACUUGGAGAUAGCUGGUUCUCUCCGAAAUAGCUUUAGGGCUAGCGUCGACAUUAGAGAUUCUUGGAGGUAGAGCACUGUUUGGGUGAGGGGUCCAUCCCGGAUUACCAAUCUCAGAUAAACUCCGAAUGCCAAUGAAUUAUGGUCGGCAGUCAGACUGCGAGUGCUAAGAUCCGUAGUCGAAAGGGAAACAGCCCAGACCACCAGCUAAGGUCCCAAAAUAAUUGUUAAGUGGAAAAGGAUGUGGGGUUGCACAGACAACUAGGAUGUUAGCUUAGAAGCAGCUAUUCAUUCAAAGAGUGCGUAAUAGCUCACUAGUCGAGUGACCCUGCGCCGAAAAUGUACCGGGGCUAAAACAAUUUACCGAAGCUGUGGAUACCUUUAUAGGUAUGGUAGGAGAGCGUUCUAUGUGUGAUGAAGGUAUACCGUGAGGAGUGCUGGAACGCAUAGAAGUGAGAAUGCCGGUAUGAGUAGCGAAAGACAGGUGAGAAUCCUGUCCACCGUAAGACUAAGGUUUCCAGGGGAAGGCUCGUCCGCCCUGGGUUAGUCGGGACCUAAGGAGAGACCGAAAGGUGUAUCCGAUGGACAACAGGUUGAUAUUCCUGUACUAGAGUAUGUAGUGAUGGAGGGACGCAGUAGGCUAACUAAAGCAGACGAUUGGAAGAGUCUGUCUAAGCAGUGAGGUGUGAAUUGAGUCAAAUGCUUAAUUCUAUAACAUUGAGCUGUGAUGGGGAGCGAAGUUUAGUAGCGAAGUUAGUGACGUCACACUGCCAAGAAAAGCUUCUAGCGUUUAAACAUACUCUACCCGUACCGCAAACCGACACAGGUAGUCGAGGCGAGUAGCCUCAGGUGAGCGAGAGAACUCUCGUUAAGGAACUCGGCAAAAUGACCCCGUAACUUCGGGAGAAGGGGUGCUGACUUUAAGUCAGCCGCAGUGAAUAGGCCCAAGCAACUGUUUAUCAAAAACACAGCUCUCUGCUAAAUCGUAAGAUGAUGUAUAGGGGGUGACGCCUGCCCGGUGCUGGAAGGUUAAGAGGAGUGCUUAGCGUAAGCGAAGGUAUGAAUUGAAGCCCCAGUAAACGGCGGCCGUAACUAUAACGGUCCUAAGGUAGCGAAAUUCCUUGUCGGGUAAGUUCCGACCCGCACGAAAGGCGUAAUGAUUUGGGCACUGUCUCAACGAGAGACUCGGUGAAAUUUUAGUACCUGUGAAGAUGCAGGUUACCCGCGACAGGACGGAAAGACCCCAUGGAGCUUUACUGCAGUUUGAUAUUGAGUGUCUGUACCACAUGUACAGGAUAGGUAGGAGUCUAAGAGAUCGGGACGCCAGUUUCGAAGGAGACGCUGUUGGGAUACUACCCUUGUGUUAUGGCCACUCUAACCCAGAUAGGUGAUCCCUAUCGGAGACAGUGUCUGACGGGCAGUUUGACUGGGGCGGUCGCCUCCUAAAAGGUAACGGAGGCGCCCAAAGGUUCCCUCAGAAUGGUUGGAAAUCAUUCGCAGAGUGUAAAGGUAUAAGGGAGCUUGACUGCGAGAGCUACAACUCGAGCAGGGACGAAAGUCGGGCUUAGUGAUCCGGUGGUUCCGUAUGGAAGGGCCAUCGCUCAACGGAUAAAAGCUACCCUGGGGAUAACAGGCUUAUCUCCCCCAAGAGUUCACAUCGACGGGGAGGUUUGGCACCUCGAUGUCGGCUCGUCGCAUCCUGGGGCUGUAGUCGGUCCCAAGGGUUGGGCUGUUCGCCCAUUAAAGCGGCACGCGAGCUGGGUUCAGAACGUCGUGAGACAGUUCGGUCCCUAUCCGUCGCGGGCGUAGGAAAUUUGAGAGGAUCUGCUCCUAGUACGAGAGGACCAGAGUGGACUUACCGCUGGUGUACCAGUUGUCUUGCCAAAGGCAUCGCUGGGUAGCUAUGUAGGGAAGGGAUAAACGCUGAAAGCAUCUAAGUGUGAAACCCACCUCAAGAUGAGAUUUCCCAUGAUUAUAUAUCAGUAAGAGCCCUGAGAGAUGAUCAGGUAGAUAGGUUAGAAGUGGAAGUGUGGCGACACAUGUAGCGGACUAAUACUAAUAGCUCGAGGACUUAUCCAA